RNAcentral lists this ribosomal RNA (1372 nucleotides) under uncultured bacterium. RNAcentral describes it as "partial 16S ribosomal RNA". It matches the Rfam family "Bacterial small subunit ribosomal RNA". The record is from RNAcentral.
AGAGUUUGAUCCUGGCUCAGGAUGAACGCUGACAGAAUGCUUAACACAUGCAAGUCUACUUGAUCCUUCGGGUGAUGGUGGCGGACGGGUGAGUAACGCGUAAAGGACUUGCCUUGCAGUCUGGGACAACGUCUGGAAACGGACGCUAAUACCGGAUAUUAUGAUUGGAUCGCAUGAUUUGAUUAUGAAGGCUAUAUGCGCUGCGAGAGAGCUUUGCGUCCCAUUAGUUAGUUGGUGAGGUAACGGCUCACCAAGACGAUGAUGGGUAGCCGGCCUGAGAGGGUGAACGGCCACAAGGGGACUGAGACACGGCCCUUACUCCUACGGGAGGCAGCAGUGGGGAAUAUUGGACAAUGGACCAAAAGUCUGAUCCAGCAAUUCUGUGUGCACGAUGAAGUUUUUCGGAAUGUAAAGUGCUUUCAGUUGGGAAGAAGAAAGUGACGGUACCAACAGAAGAAGCGACGGCUAAAUACGUGCCAGCAGCCGCGGUAAUACGUAUGUCGCAAGCGUUAUCCGGAUUUAUUGGGCGUAAAGCGCGUCUAGGCGGUUUGGUAAGUCUGAUGUGAAAAUGCGGGGCUCAACUCCGUAUUGCGUUGGAAACUGCCAAACUAGAGUACUGGAGAGGUAGGCGGAACUACAAGUGUAGAGGUGAAAUUCGUAGAUAUUUGUAGGAAUGCCGAUGGGGAAGCCAGCCUACUGGACAGAUACUGACGCUAAAGCGCGAAAGCGUGGGUAGCAAACAGGAUUAGAUACCCUGGUAGUCCACGCAGUAAACGAUGAUUACUAGGAGUUUGCGAUAAAAUGUAAGCUCUACAGCGAAAGCGUUAAAUAAUCCCACCUGGGGAGUACGCCGGGCAACGGGUGAAACUCAAAAGGAAUUGACGGGGGGCCCCGCCCAAAGCGGAGGGAACAUGUGGUUUAAUUCGAAUGAUACGCGAGGAACCUUACCCGGGUUUUGAACGCACAGCGACGAAUCAGGAAACUGAUUUUCUAGCAAUAGCGAUGUGCGAGGUGCUGCAUGGUUGUCGUCAGCUCGUGCCGUGAGGUGUCGGCUUAAGUGCCAUAACGAGCGCAACCCUUGCCGUUAGUUACUAACAAGUAGUGUUGAGGACUCUAGCGGGACUGCCAGCGUAAGCUGUGAGGAAGGCGGGGAUGACGUCAAAUCAGCACGGCCCUUACAUCCGGGGCGACACACGUGUUACAAUGGCGUGGACAAAGAGCAGCCACUUGGCGACAAGGAGCUAAUCUCCAAACCACGUCUCAGUUCGGAUCGGAGUCUGCAACCCGACUCCGUGAAGCUGGAUUCGCUAGUAAUCGCGCAUCAGAAUGUCGCGGUGAAUACGUUCCCGGGUCCUGCACACACCGCCCGUCA